This is a long non-coding RNA of Drosophila obscura, 3930 nucleotides long. RefSeq lists it as uncharacterized. NCBI's taxonomy places the organism in Eukaryota, Metazoa, Arthropoda, Insecta, Diptera, Drosophilidae. The record is from RefSeq and is a predicted model, not a curated record. The transcript is spliced from 4 exons.
ACAUUCUACAUCUCCUCCGCAAGAGGUCUGAUCCAGAUUCGGUAAUUUUAUACGAUACCGCGUUUUCUCGUAUCUUCAUAAUUUUGGAUAACAUAGAUUUUCGUCCUUUUUGACUGCGGAAGGGAGCCUGAGUCUGAAAACAAAAUUUGGUUGCUCUAGCUCUUAUAGUCUCUGAGAUCUGGGCGCUCAACAAGACGGAUGCUGAUCAAGAAUAUACAUAUAUACUUUAUGUGGUCGGAAACGUUUCCUUCUGGGAGUUACACUCAUCCACUUUGACCACAAAUAUAGUACAUAUACCCCGUAACUCUUUUAGUACCAGGUAUAAAUUCGACUUUGUCCAUAUUUUCUUAUGUAAAUUAAUGAUAUUUAGAGUAAAUUCAAAUUUAUUUAAAGUUUUAUUUGUGUAAACGAACAUACAUAUGUAAGUAAAUGUACACAUGUACAUAGUAUAUAUUAGGUAGCUUAUAUUAGGUAGAUGUGGAUGCAGAUAUAUGUAAAAAUAUACAUACGUUGUUUUUUAUGAAUUCACUAUCAAUACCAACACCGAAUUUUAGACAAAUAACAUGAGAUGUCUUAAAUACGGGUAUUAAAACAGUAAUAUAGAUAAUUUAUUUAUAGUCUAUAAUUUUAUCAAUAUCAAUAUUUUAUCGAUAGCCGGUAGAACGAUGAAUUUUCGACAGAUGUGACCACUGGCACCAUUCAUCAUCUAUGCAAGCACAGCUAAUGACAAUAACAAAAAAAAAAUAUUUACUCCGAAUUUUUAAUUUUAGCAAGUUUAAGUUAAAAAAUUGGCGAUUUGAUGGACAAUGAUAAAACUAUGUCCAAUAUAACGUUAUAGGCUUUACACAUUAAGCAAAUCCCGGAGGAACGGUGGAAAUUCUUAACAGAUGUGAAGCACCAAACAAUGCCAUCUGCACACUGAGCCCAUCCCGGGGGAACGGUGGGAAUUUUUGAAAGAUGUGAAACACCAAUUCACACUGAGACCAUCCACCAUUGAUGAGAAAUAGCUGAUGCUCACAAUUGCGUGCGGUGAAAAUUUGUAAACUUUAUAGUUAAAAUUAAUAUAAAUAAAUAACAUUGCAAUGGUUGUGAAUGUGAUUCAGCAGCAAAACAUAUUCUUGCACAAGCUAAUCAUGUUGCUGGACAUGAUGAUGAUGAUGAGGACAACUUUGACGAGGUGGAGAUAAUAGAAUAGAUAUCUGUUUGGAAAACACUGAAGCCAGGAAGGUUUUGGUCAUUUAAGCGGUUCGGUUUAUUUUGGGAGAAGGAUGUAUCCGAAAACAAAGAGGCGUUCUUUAAGGAAAUUUGUAGAAUGAACAGGUCCUGUUUUUCUCUGUUGGUUACUCGCCUGGAAGUACUACGGAAGAAGGACACAAACUGCCGAGCCGCAAUUCCUCUGGAGAAGCGUAUCGCCAUAGCUUUAUAUUCUUUGGACUCUUCUUCUGAGUACCGAACAGUCGGUAGGCUUUUGGACGUGUCAGCCAACAGCGUCUGCAAUAUCCUGCAUGAGUUUAGCAGGGCAUUGAUAAAAGAAUUCUCAGAAGAAUACAGGUCUUCAUACUAUCUCACUUCCGAGCAAAUUGACGAGUGUGUCGAAGGAUUUGAAGAAUUUGGGUUUCCUCAGUGCCUAGGUGCAAUUGAUGGAUGUCACAUUGAAAUAAAACCACCUGCAGCUGAGGCAGUCGACCACCACAAAUAUUAAGGCUGGUAUUCAACCGUAUUAUUUGCAAUGGUAGACUACAGCUAUAUCUGAAUAUCUUUACAUAUGUAAACAUCGGCUCCGCAGGAAGAUGCAACGACUCAAUGAUAUACCAAAAGUCAAGCCUCGGCAAGCGUAUCGAAUAGUCGCCUUUGCUAGAGGAAAAAGCUAAGGAAAUUAGCGGAGUGAAGGUUCCAGUAAUGCUGAUUGGGGACUCGGCAUCCAGGUUCUCAAAAAGCUUAUGAAGCCGUACCCAUUUUCCGCGUCUUUAGAACAGCGCACUUUUAAUUACAACCUUUCCAAAGCAAGGCGUGUUGUGGAAAAUGCGUUUGGGCAUUUUAAAGCCAGAUUCCGCAUAAUUGAAAAAUGCCUGGAUAGCCAUCAUAAAAACCACAGUGCCAUUAUAUUGUAUUGUUGCAUCUUUCACAACAUGUUAAACAUGCACAACAGCACAACUAAUGAAUGUUGGGAACUUCUUUUAAGUGAGCAGAGAGAACAGCCCGAUAGCAGAAAUAUUUCUGCUGAUUAUAUUCAUUCAUCACAACAGAUACGAUCUGCAAUUGCAACAUAUUAAAUAGAAUAAAUAUAUAAUUCAGUAUCACUUCAACCUCCCUGGAGAUAAGACGUGCUACCGAAAACCCAGCUUCGCGCGAACUCAAAAGCUUAUCAGCAAAAUCGCGAUAAACAACAACAACUUUAACUCAAUUCGUAAAACAGAAACACAAAAACAAGCACACAGCAUCGGCCUCUUCCUGUAUGGUAAAGCUCCUAAAUCCACCAUUAACAAAAUAAACCCAAUAGUAAACUGCGCGCUCAGAGCAGCCUUUGGCGCUUACCGUACUUCACCCUCCAGAAACCUCAUGUCUGAAGCGAAUAUCGCCCCCCUCGACCAACGUUAUACGUUCUCAAAAACCAAACUUUUUAAAUCACUUCACAAUAGUUCAGAUACCCCUUUUGCCAAAUUCCUGACCAAAACAGCACUAAAAAAACAGAACCACAUCCUCAGUCUUAGAUUUCCUUAUCAACAAGUGUAGACAACUCAAAAUACCUCUUGGUCCAAUCAGGAGAAGAAAGGAAACGCCAUACUGGUUAUUUAAAAAAAAUUCUGUCGACCUCACACUUCGACAAUAUACAAAAACCGACACAAACAACGUAGUAUACCAAACUGCCUUUCUCUCCAUUAGAGAAUCUUACUCGGACCGCAAAUUUAUCUAUACCGAUGGGUCAGCCACGGACAUCUCUAUUACUUUUGCAAUUUCCACAGAAAUGUCUAUUCUUUGUUUAGGUAGACUACCCAACUAUUCUUCCGUCUUUUCUGCAGAGAUCAUAGCAAUUGUAGAAGCAAUCGAACUAGUUAGAAAAACCCCAGGAAAGUUCAUCUCAGAUUCCCUGUCCUCAUUAGAUGCAAUAGUAAACACCAACAACAGAAGCUUCUACCCCGCUCUUGUUAGAACUCUUCUCGCACAGAAUAAAAACAAAACUUUUAUGGAUACCUGGAGCCAAAACAGCACACUCCCUUCCCUCAAUUAACACCAUUAACUUCAACAAAAAAGACAUAGACCAAUACAUAAAAAAGAUGUUUCAAGAGGAGAAGCUCCAAUUUAUGAACGCCACAUCAGACAGGUACCGCACCAUCUCACCCCCAUCCUCCACACUCCAACCACUUUUCCGAUAUCUCAAUUUAACCCGAACAGACCAAACCAAAAUAACCAGACUACGCAUCGGACACUCGAAACUAACUCACGAACACUACCUUAAUUCCAAAAUGAACAGCAAUUGCCAACUAUUGCAAAAAUCUUCAUCCUCAAAUAUUCACCACAUCAUGUGCUGCGCUAUCCAAACAUAGACAUAACAUAUUCUCCAACAAGAACCCCAUUACGUUACUACAAAAACCUACCCAACCCAAUCUACAACUGAUUUGUCAUUUCUCAAAUAUGCUGACAUAUACCAUAAAGUUUAAUGUAAAUAUAUAUGGGAAAAUAAUAAUUUACUAUAAAAUAAUUGUAAACCCUCUCCCCCUAUCAUAAGCGUAUCUAAUGUAAAUACAGUCUCACUUUAACUAUCCUAAUUAAUACGUAAUAUAAAAUAUAAUAUAAUAAGUAGCUAAAGGCCAGAGCAGCCAAAGCUUCAUCUUUCUACUAAGGGUCCUAAUCUAUGCUUAUAACUCUGUAUAUAUUAAUAAAUAAUAAAUAUAUAAUAACUUAAAUUUAAAGAGAAAAAAAAAUGUACUU